UACGUAGGGUGCGAGCGUUGUCCGGAAUUAUUGGGCGUAAAGAGCUUGUAGGCGGUUUGUCGCGUCUGCUGUGAAAUCUCAAGGCUCAACCUUGAGCUUGCAGUGGGUACGGGCAGACUAGAGUGUGGUAGGGGAGACUGGAAUUCCUGGUGUAGCGGUGGAAUGCGCAGAUAUCAGGAGGAACACCGGUGGCGAAGGCGGGUCUCUGGGCCAUUACUGACGCUGAGGAGCGAAAGCGUGGGGAGCGAACAGG
RNAcentral lists this ribosomal RNA (253 nucleotides) under uncultured bacterium. RNAcentral describes it as "partial 16S ribosomal RNA". It matches the Rfam family "Bacterial small subunit ribosomal RNA", at positions 524 to 776 of the family's 1533-position model. The record is from RNAcentral.